RNAcentral lists this ribosomal RNA (585 nucleotides) under uncultured bacterium. Its description in RNAcentral is "bacterial SSU rRNA". It matches the Rfam family "Bacterial small subunit ribosomal RNA", at positions 338 to 916 of the family's 1533-position model. The record is from RNAcentral.
CCUACGGGAGGCAGCAGUGGGGAAUUUUGGACAAUGGGCGCAAGCCUGAUCCAGCAAUGCCGCGUGAGUGAAGAAGGCCUUCGGGUUGUAAAGCUCUUUUGUCAGGGAAGAAACGGUGGGGGCUAAUAUCCUCCACUAAUGACGGUACCUGAAGAAUAAGCACCGGCUAACUACGUGCCAGCAGCCGCGGUAAUACGUAGGGUGCAAGCGUUAAUCGGAAUUACUGGGCGUAAAGCGUGCGCAGGCGGUUUUGUAAGUUUGUCGUGAAAUCCCCGGGCUCAACCUGGGAAUGGCGAUGAAGACUGCAAGGCUAGAAUCUGGCAGAGGGGGGUAGAAUUCCACGUGUAGCAGUGAAAUGCGUAGAGAUGUGGAGGAACACCGAUGGCGAAGGCAGCCCCCUGGGUCAAGAUUGACGCUCAUGCACGAAAGCGUGGGGAGCAAACAGGAUUAGAUACCCUGGUAGUCCACGCCCUAAACGAUGUCUACUAGUUGUCGGGUUUUAAUUAACUUGGUAACGCAGCUAACGCGUGAAGUAGACCGCCUGGGGAGUACGGUCGCAAGAUUAAAACUCAAAGGAAUUGACGG